UAAGGAAUAUUGCUCAAUGGGAGAAAUCCUGAAGCAGCAACGCCGCGUGGAGGAUGAAGGGUCUAUGACUUGUAAACUCCUGUAAAGAAGGAAAAAAUUCCCAUUAGAUGGGAGAUGAUGGUACUUCUGGAGUAAGCCCCGGCUAACUACGUGCCAGCAGCCGCGGUAAUACGUAGGGGGCAAGCGUUGUCCGGAUUUACUGGGUGUAAAGGGUGCUCAGGCGGAUUUGUAAGUCAGAGGUGAAAUCUUACAGCUUAACUGUGAAACUGCCUUUGAUACUGCAAGCCUAGAGUAUGGAAGAGAGUGAUGGAAUAUCUGGUGUAGCAGUGAAAUGCGUAGAUAUCAGAUAGAACACCAAUGGCGAAGGCAGUCACUUGGUCCAGUACUGACGCUAAAGCACGAAAGCGUGGGUAGCAAACA
RNAcentral lists this ribosomal RNA (420 nucleotides) under uncultured bacterium. Its description in RNAcentral is "bacterial SSU rRNA". It matches the Rfam family "Bacterial small subunit ribosomal RNA", at positions 355 to 774 of the family's 1533-position model. The record is from RNAcentral.